UACGUAGGGUGCGAGCGUUGUCCGGAAUUAUUGGGCGUAAAGAGCUUGUAGGCGGUUUGUCGCGUCUGCCGUGAAAAUCCGGGGCUCAACCCCGGACUUGCGGUGGGUACGGGCAGACUAGAGUGUGGUAGGGGAGACUGGAAUUCCUGGUGUAGCGGUGAAAUGCGCAGAUAUCGGGAAGAACACCCGUGGCGAAGGCGGCCUGCUGGGCCGUUGCUGACGCUGAGGCGCGACAGCGUGGGGAGCAAACAGG
RNAcentral lists this ribosomal RNA (253 nucleotides) under uncultured bacterium. RNAcentral's name for it is "partial 16S ribosomal RNA". It matches the Rfam family "Bacterial small subunit ribosomal RNA", at positions 524 to 776 of the family's 1533-position model. The record is from RNAcentral.